GGUUGUGGCUGAGUGGUAGAGCACUUGCCUAGCAUGCAUGAGGCACUGGGUUAGAUCCCCGGCACCA
This 67-nucleotide transfer RNA is filed under the name Ictidomys tridecemlineatus (thirteen-lined ground squirrel). RNAcentral describes it as "Spermophilus tridecemlineatus (thirteen-lined ground squirrel) tRNA". It matches the Rfam family "tRNA". From Rfam's summary of the family: Transfer RNA (tRNA) molecules are approximately 80 nucleotides in length. Their secondary structure includes four short double-helical elements and three loops (D, anti-codon, and T loops). The record is from Rfam by way of RNAcentral. RNAcentral also lists the same sequence under 1 other name. Lineage: Eukaryota; Metazoa; Chordata; Mammalia; Rodentia; Sciuridae.